UGCCUUACUAGUGGACUACUCGGUCGUUGGAUCAGGAGUCUGCAAUUAGUUAACAUAAGUGAGUACAUUAUGGCAAGGGUGUGCGGCAUAGUUAUUGCCUCUUGUGCAUCCAUGUGAAUUUCUAGUGGAGUUAAGUUGUGCGUGACUGCAAUUUGUAAUCCACGUAGUAAUGUCAGAAGUUCUUCUUUGGCGACCAUAAAGUUACCGGAUGAAUUUUCAUGUUAUAGAUUAGAUCCAGACGUAGCUGUGGCUUCGCAGUGAUAUGGCAAUUUACCUCAUCUCUUACAAUUCUAGUUGAAGCCUGAAAAAAUAUACAUUCAGGAUCGAGCGGGAGGCAGGCUUAUGAGAGAAAGAAAGAAACAAGGGGUGCUCCUAUGAGUGCAACCGACAUUAUAGAGUAGCUUGCGGGACGAAAUUCGUGACCGAAAGUUGAUAUCUAUAACAUCGGUCAAUUGAUGAUGUCCAUCAUAGCCUAUUACCCAGUUUCCUGCGGUAUCUAUAAAUACUUCAACAAAUCUCAUAUGUGAUUUUGUUGUACUGACUGCCCCAUUACAAAUAGGGAUGGGUUCCAUUUGACAUACAUAAGCAAUUUAGUUCGUUCAUGGGUGGGAGGAAUUUGCUUGAUAGUGAUAUUCAUCAAUUAGUUGGAGAAUUAUCGUGGUAGAAGGUUUCAAUUUUGCAGUUUCAAACAAUUUUUGUUUCGAAUAUUCCAUAGAUGUUAUAAUGUGAAAUGAAUUAACUGUUUUUACUGAACGGCAUUUGUAUAAGAUGUGCCAUUUUGGAGAAUGAUUUGUUUAAGC
RNAcentral lists this long non-coding RNA (800 nucleotides) under Nicotiana benthamiana. Its description in RNAcentral is "long non-coding RNA (NBEN_LNC021154)". The record is from RNAcentral. Lineage: Eukaryota; Viridiplantae; Streptophyta; Magnoliopsida; Solanales; Solanaceae.